GAGAGGAGAGAGUGAGUGAGAGGGACAGAGAGGUAGCAGUCAGCAACAUGUAGCCUCGCCGAGUGGAGGAAAGGUCGAAACUGUGUGUGCGCGAUUCUUUGCUCUUUUCUUUUUUGUCGGGAGGGGUGAUAUGUUUCGCUUUCAUCCCGAGGACAUUAUCCCGCAACAUUAGAAUCGAUCAGGCUCUAUGCCGCAGGAAAUGUCCAGCGGAGGGAUGGACGGAUGGAUUGUGGUGCACGGAGAGAAGACGCGGAGAGCAAAAAGAGAAGAAAAAGAGUGCGGGGCUCCUGAAAACAUGCGCUCCAUCAGCCUUUGUGAAUGGAUGCCUGAGAGCAAGGAGAUGAAUGGACCUGCAUUGGUGUGUUUCAUCAUACACUGACAUGACUCCCCUUGUCCUCCAUUGCCCCUAAUGCACACACACACACACACACACACACACACACACACACACACACACACACACACACUCUUUGAGCAUAUCUGAUUCAGAACUUGUGCUACUGUCAACAGUGUAGAGAGGAAACUAAGUGAACCUGCAGUGCCAAAUCAAGAGAGAUUGGCAUGGAGGUGGGAGGUGAAGGAGGAGAAAAGAGAAGGAAAGGCGAAAAAGAGAUGAUUACAGGAAGAUUAAAGGAUGUACUGUACUGUGCAAAAGUCUGGAGUCAUCCUUCAUGACUUUA
Oreochromis aureus is the source of this 680-nucleotide long non-coding RNA. The record is from Ensembl. NCBI's taxonomy places the organism in Eukaryota, Metazoa, Chordata, Actinopteri, Cichliformes, Cichlidae.